This 550-nucleotide ribosomal RNA is filed under the name Funneliformis mosseae. RNAcentral's name for it is "SSU rRNA". It matches the Rfam family "Eukaryotic small subunit ribosomal RNA", at positions 548 to 1098 of the family's 1831-position model. Lineage: Eukaryota; Fungi; Glomeromycota; Glomeromycetes; Glomerales; Glomeraceae. The record is from RNAcentral.
UUGGAGGGCAAGUCUGGUGCCAGCAGCCGCGGUAAUUCCAGCUCCAAUAGCGUAUAUUAAAGUUGUUGCAGUUAAAAAGCUCGUAGUUGAAUUUCGGGAUCAAUAUUUCGGUCAUGCCGUUGGUAUGCACUGUUAUCAUUGAUUUCUCACCUUCUAAAGAACCGUAAUGCCAUUAAUUUGGUGUUACGGGGAAUUAGGACUGUUACCUUGAAAAAAUUAGAGUGUUUAAAGCAGGCUCACGCUUGAAUACAUUAGCAUGGAAUAAUGAAAUAGGACAUCCGAUUCUAUUUUGUUGGUCUCUAGGAUCGAUGUAAUGAUUAAUAGGGAUAGUUGGGGGCAUUAGUAUUCAAUUGUCAGAGGUGAAAUUCUUGGAUUUAUUGAAGACUAACUACUGCGAAAGCAUUUGCCAAGGAUGUUUUCAUUAAUCAAGAACGAAAGUUAGGGGAUCGAAGACGAUCAGAUACCGUCGUAGUCUUAACCAUAAACUAUGCCGACUAGGGAUCGGAUGAUGUUAAUUUUUUAAUGACUCAUUCGGCGCCUUACGGGAAAC